AUUGAACGCUGGCGGCAGGCCUAACACAUGCAAGUCGAGCGGAUGAAGGGAGCUUGCUCCUGGAUUCAGCGGCGGACGGGUGAGUAAUGCCUAGGAAUCUGCCUGGUAGUGGGGGAUAACGUCCGGAAACGGGCGCUAAUACCGCAUACGUCCUGAGGGAGAAAGUGGGGGAUCUUCGGACCUCACGCUAUCAGAUGAGCCUAGGUCGGAUUAGCUAGUUGGUGGGGUAAAGGCCUACCAAGGCGACGAUCCGUAACUGGUCUGAGAGGAUGAUCAGUCACAACGGGAACGGGAAACGGGCCAAAACCCCUAGGGGGGGGCGGUGGGGGAAAUUUGGGAAAAGGGGGGAAACCCUAACCCGGCCUUGCCGGGGGUGUGAAGAAGGUUUUGGGUUUGUAAAGCAUUUUAAUUGGGGGGGAAGGGCAGAAAGUUAAAACUUUGCUUUUUUGACGUUACCAACAAAAAAAGCACCGGCUAACUUCGU
RNAcentral lists this ribosomal RNA (484 nucleotides) under uncultured bacterium. Its description in RNAcentral is "partial 16S ribosomal RNA". It matches the Rfam family "Bacterial small subunit ribosomal RNA", at positions 30 to 506 of the family's 1533-position model. The record is from RNAcentral.